This 253-nucleotide ribosomal RNA is filed under the name uncultured bacterium. Its description in RNAcentral is "partial 16S ribosomal RNA". It matches the Rfam family "Bacterial small subunit ribosomal RNA", at positions 524 to 776 of the family's 1533-position model. The record is from RNAcentral.
UACGGAGGGUGCAAGCGUUAUCCGGAUUCACUGGGUUUAAAGGGUGCGUAGGUGGGUUUGUAAGUCAGUGGUGAAAUCUCCGAGCUUAACUCGGAAACUGCCAUUGAUACUAUAGAUCUUGAAUCAUCUGGAGGUAAGCGGAAUAUGUCAUGUAGCGGUGAAAUGCUUAGAUAUGACAUAGAACACCAAUUGCGAAGGCAGCUGGCUACACGCCUAUUGACACUGAUGCACGAAAGCGUGGGGAUCAAACAGG